This 480-nucleotide ribosomal RNA is filed under the name uncultured bacterium. Its description in RNAcentral is "partial 16S ribosomal RNA". It matches the Rfam family "Bacterial small subunit ribosomal RNA", at positions 28 to 507 of the family's 1533-position model. The record is from RNAcentral.
GACGAACGCUGGCGGCGCGCUUAACACAUGCAAGUCGAGCGAUGAAACUUUAACAGAACCCUUCGGGGCGAAGAUAAAGUGGAUUAGCGGCGGACGGGUGAGUAACACGUGAGUAACCUGCCUUAGACAUUGGGAUAGCCUCGGGAAACCGGGAUUAAUACCAAAUAAAAUCAUAAUGACACAUGUCAUAACGAUCAAAACUCCGGUGGUCUAAGAUGGACUCGCGUCCCAUUCGCUAGUUGGUAGAGUAAAAGCCUACCAAGGCGACGAUGGGUAGCCGGCCUGAGAGGGUGAACGGCCACAUUGGAACUGAGAAACGGUCCAAACUCCUACGGGAGGCAGCAGUGGGGAAUAUUGCACAAUGGAGGGAAUUCUGAUGCAGCGACGCCGCGUGAACGAAGAAGGCUUUCGAGUCGUAAAGUUCUUUUAUAUGGGAAGAUAAUGACGGUACCAUAAGAAAAAGCCCCGGCUAACUACGUG